UUAUUGAGAUAUGUAUUUCUGCAGGUUAGGCUGAAGCCUCUGCAUGUCCCGAUGCCUGAUGGAGAUGGAGGAAUCCUUUCUACCCAGACAGAAGUCACACUAUGUAGCCUGUCCUCUUUAGAACUGAAUCCGAUUGGGAUUUCUUCAUGGUCUCCACCCUGGAAAACCAGCUUGAAUUCUUGUAUGCGGGCCAGAUUCCAAGAGACAUCAUAAUUAGAUCCCAGAAGACUACAUGGCAGCUGAAGAGGAUGUCCCCUGUGGAAUAUAUGGAGGAAAGGCUGGCCAAAGCAAUGUUCACAUUCAUGCAAUUAUCCAGUUAAUUGCACAAGUCAAACCAAGACUUGUUCUAAAGCCACAAUAACAACGAAAUUGAUGCUUUCAUCUCCCAGAAAUAUGGCUGUGCUGUGAUCCAUGAAUUUUAAAUUAGAAGUAAAUCUAGGACUGAACUACUAAUUUUCCCCAUCAGCUGAAGAGUUUUGGCAAUGAACAGCUUGCAGCUGAAUCCCCUUCUGGAAAU
Molecule: long non-coding RNA, 517 nt
Organism: Homo sapiens (human)
Lineage: Eukaryota; Metazoa; Chordata; Mammalia; Primates; Hominidae
Product: long intergenic non-protein coding RNA 2160
Source: Ensembl